AUUGAACGCUGGCGGCAGGCCUAACACAUGCAAGUCGAGCGGAUGAAGGGAGCUUGCUCCUGGAUUCAGCGGCGGACGGGUGAGUAAUGCCUAGGAAUCUGCCUGGUAGUGGGGGAUAACGUCCGGAAACGGGCGCUAAUACCGCAUACAUCCUGAGGGAGAAAGUGGGGGAUCUUCGGACCUCACGCUAUCAGAUGAGCCUAGGUCGGAUUAGCUAGUUGGUGGGGUAAAGGCCUACCAAGGCGACGAUCCGUAACUGGUCUGAGAGGAUAAUCAGUCACACUGGAACUGAGACGCGGUCCAGACUCCUACGGGAGGCAGCAGUGGGGAAUAUUGGACAAUGGGCGAAAGCCUGAUCCAGCCAUGCCGCGUGUGUGAAGAAGGUCUUCGGAUUGUAAAGCACUUUAAGUUGGGAGGAAGGGCAGUAAGUUAAUACCUUGCUGUUUUGACGUUACCAACAGAAUAAGCACCGGCUAACUUCGUG
RNAcentral lists this ribosomal RNA (484 nucleotides) under uncultured bacterium. Its description in RNAcentral is "partial 16S ribosomal RNA". It matches the Rfam family "Bacterial small subunit ribosomal RNA", at positions 30 to 507 of the family's 1533-position model. The record is from RNAcentral.